Molecule: non-coding RNA, 29 nt
Filed under: Mus musculus (house mouse)
Lineage: Eukaryota; Metazoa; Chordata; Mammalia; Rodentia; Muridae
Source: RNAcentral
UACAAGGACAUUUCAAUUUCUCGUCUUCC